CCCUUUUUUUUUUUUUUUUAAACUGAAGCGCAUAUUUACCUUGUUCCAAUACAUCUCCCUUCAUUACAAUUAACAGAUGAAUCUGUUAUUUGGUGCAAGUCAGAGUAAAAAGGUCCAGUUAAAUAUCAGCUGGGAUGUUAAGGUAGCUAUAAAACUUUACCUCUAAGUCAAAACAAUAUAACUUCACUGUAGAACACCUUCCCAGCUGGUUAUUCAUUCCCUCUACCCCACCAAUAUGACCUGUGUAAUACCAAGCACAGAGGUGGCACGGUGCCUUUUACUUGUAACUACCGAAAGGUACGGUCUUCCAUUUGUAUUUUCCAGAAGCCUUACAAUGGGGAAGAAAAAAACACACUGAACAUACGUGGUGGCAGAACCCAACUCCCUCUGAGCAUCAUCAUUUAAAGGGCAUAUAUCAUAAAUUUCUACCGCUAUUUCGAUUGAUGUUCAGGCUUGUAGCUUGUGCUAAUAAUUUGUUCUAAUAACAGGAAGCACAAGUCCGCCUAAAUUUAUGACGUCACAACUUGGAUGCAAAACUCUGGCGUUGAUUGUAAUAUUACGUCCAUCCAAGACAAAAAUAGAGAUGCUAAAGACUUGAGAUGGAGAAAGUUGGAAGAAAUGUUUUCUAGGAGUGGUAACUUGGAGAACUAGCACCCUAUAGAGUCCAAUUCAGCAAAAUGGUGAAUUGGGAAAACUAAACAGCUGGUAGCAUUCAGUUCUGUCAUUUUUACUCUGAUGUGGUUAUGUCUCACUUUUGUACACAUAAUAGGUCAGUGUUUUUGUUUUGUUCUUGUGAGGGCUUAACUGCAUCACAGUAAUGUAGCUGUAGAAACAUUACUCCAAUCUGUCCCGCCGCUCAAACUUUAUCAGUUUAUUUUCCCCACAAUUGCAAUUUUGGCCCUAACAAAUCACUACAAUAAUUGUACUUCUCCUAGAUAGAAGGGAACCUAAAAUACUGACGUUAAAUCCGAUCGGCACCAGUCCUCCUGCGACUCUGCUACGAUAAACAAAGCGAUGAUGGAUGGAUAUUCAAUCAGGCUUUAGCUGCAAACACACUCAUCCAUUUGGCUCAGACACAUAGAAAAAAAAUUAUAGCUGACGCUGUCAUCGCUAAAUGUUUAGAGUGGCUACAAAUGUUUUGUUUUUUUUGCUGUCAUUGUGAUUUUAAAGAAAAUAAUGGAUCUCAAGAAUGGCUCUUUAAUAUGAUAUUUGCCCUUUAAAUUAUGUUUCAAAUUAAAAGUAAAAGCUUAAAUAACUGCCUUUAGAUUCGCUUGGAUUUCUCCACACAUUUCCCGUGACUUUUAGGGUCGCAGAAGACAUUGCACACUACUGGUGCGAUUUCCUUUAGGCACAUCAAACGGUGAACAAACGAUCGCUAGACUGAAAGCACAAAUCCAAAGAAGGCACCUCGGAGCUCGGAGGGCUCUCCGAACCAUAAGAAGCAAAAUCGACCAAAUUUAGGCCAAGAUGUGAGGGAGAAAAUAAAAUAAAAAUAAAACCCCCCCCACAGAAAUCGUGAGGCUUGAUUAUUAGAAACACAGUAACUGUAGAGAGACCGCUGUCUGAAAUUCCAGAGCUGCUUCUGAUUAUUCCUCUCAGCCUUCUGGGUUAUUCAUCUAGUAACUUCUUCACAGUGCAAACCAAGUUGUCAUCAAACUUUAGGGUGAACUGUUUGUUGUGACUGUGUUGCAAAUUGAUUGUGGAGAUAGUAUUGUGUUAUUUUAGGGUAGACUGAACUAGAAAUAGGAUUGCAGUUUGUAGCUGUGUGCAGUGUUAAUAACAGUGUGAUCAUAAUCUAGAAGUGACGUAACAUUUGUUGUCUUACUACGACAUUAAGGCAUGAAAAUCUUCUGUCAAGCUGACCUUGUUUGAAAUAGGUAUAAGUGCAAUAACCUUUUGUUUAUCAUCGCUUCCUCGGUUGAGUAAAAAAAAAACCUCAUGAUCCCUUCUCCUUUCUUUUGAUAAAAAAAAACAAAAAAAAAGACACCAAAAGUCACUGAUCUGUAGCAAAUGAAGGAUUUCAGCGGUCCUCUUGUUUGUAUUCAGAGGUGGCGUUUAAACGUGAGAUGUGAGAUUCUGUUCUUAAAACUGUGAUUUAAAAUGAAAGUUUAAAAGCUGCCUGCUCAAACACAGGACCGUGCACAAGUUGAAAAGUUGGAAUAGAUUUUUUUUUGUUUUAAUGGAUGGACUUUGAUGGGAUUGUAAUUUGGACUAGACACGUUCCUUUGCAUGUGUUCGUGUGUUUAUAUGCAUCCUCGAUUCCUCCUUCGUAGUCGGUGAUAUGAGGGGAAAAAAACUAAAAGGAAAUCUGAAAGGCCUUAUGUUGUUCUCAAUGUUAAGCAUUAAGGUUGUUUUUUUUUCACUCCCCCUCCCUUUUCAGUGUGUAGCCGAAAGCUUGUACAGUCAAACCCACAGGAGAUUUCCACCCGUGCGUUUGUAACUCGGAGGUUUUUAGAGAAACAUUCCCCCCUGAAAGUUCAGUUUGUUUUCACCAGCAGAAGAUGCGUUACCGGGGAGCAGAGGGGAGAUCGCGUUUACACAGAAAGGUGGAAAGUGGAUUUUGGAAACACUUUGCGGUGUUUUCUGUUGAAAUGAAUGAAACCAAGUAUUGUACGCAGGUGAAGUAAGACGGUUAUAUUCUGAUGGAGCACCUUAUUGACUUGCUCCUUCUGCGAGUCUCCUAUUGAUCUUGAUUACUCUAAAGCAGAGCCAUAUCAGAGAAUUUGCCCAUUAGGAGCCCCCAUGAAUGUGCUUUUAGCUGUAGGAUGUAUAUUGCAUGUUUUGUGAUACUUUAGUUGUAUUUGUAGUCCCUUUCAUGUUUUUUUUUUUCUCCUUUCUCUCUUUGGUUUAGUCUGCUUCACUGAAGAUUUUACCACCUUACUGCAACUCAUGAGCUUUUAACAAUACUCCAUCAACUGGACUUUAGGCAGGUGUUGAUCUGCUGCUGAGGCAGCCUUAAUUUAUUACAAAUUUAAAGAAAAAUAAUAAGAAUUGAAAAGUAAACCAUGGUUUAUCUGGGAAAUAAAAACGGAGCCCUUGUACGUGGAAGGACUCUGAAUCAGGGCAUGUGAUGAAUUACAAUCAAAUUAUUACCACGAUGCACCUUCACAAGCAUAGGAGGAGGGAAAACGUUGGCUUGUCCACCUGACAUUCCAAAUUUGAUUUAUUUUUUCUUCCACGGUCCUGUCUUUUUUUUUUUAUUAUUAUUAUUUCAUUUUGCUUUUCUGGUGAAUAAAGUGUGUCAAUGACAGGGUUCCCUAUUUAGCAUAACGCUGAUUACCUCAUUUACAAGUCUGCAAAUAUACUAUUCUACUGUGUGUGAAGGAGUUGAUGCCAUCACCAGCAGCGCGGUCUCCAGACCUGUGAUGACAACAGGACCAAUGAAUUUACUCUGCUCACAUCAGCCACUUUCAGAUGAACAACCGAACUAGAAACAAGCGGUUGGAAACAUGAUUGAACUUUUAUUUUGGCGGGCCAAAAACAGCCGUCGACGAUUUACUUCAGUUAAAAGCCGCAGCAGCUGCUAAUCCAGUCAACACGUACAGAUGCAUCUCGAUUCAGCAGAAAACCGCCAUGAAGUUAAAUUGUUUGAACAUAUUUAAAGCUUUUAUUCCUGCUGACUUACUGCUACUGAAAAUCCCAAAAGUCGUUUUUCAGAAGCGAUAUGAUCAGAGCUCCUUUGACAUGAUCUGUUCGCAAUUAAGGAAUCUACUCAAAACAUUUAAACCAACUUUGCUUCACAAUCCUUUUCCAAACAGUUUUCCUUCCACUCAACUUUCCAUGAAUUGGCUUGCAUACAGUACAAACAUUCAUCUUUGUUAAAGUGACGUUUUAUGAAUGUUUCCAAAUUAACUGAAUCUUCAUUAGCUGUAAGCCAUCAUCGUCAGAAAGAACGGAAUAGAUUCUUGAAGUUUUGUCUGAUUUCAGUAUAGAGUGAGUUUCUCUUUUUAAAUUGAGAUGCACCUGUGUCGUCAGAUUACAAAAUUUUAUUUAGAAAAUAAGAUUAAAAAUCUACCAGCUCAAACACUGACUGGGGUGGCAGCUGUUGGCGCUAACUAUCGUGGUUCAGUAAUCCUGGCGUAUCACAGAUAUUUCAACAUUCUAGCAUUGCUCGCUGUUUUGUUUUUGUUUCUUCGUAGCAUUACUCCUACCUCCUUGUUUUGCAGCAUUGAGUAUUGUUCGUCUCUCCACCUGUUCUGGCUUUUAAUGGGUCAGUCCACUGUACGGGAAUACAGAUUUAUCAUGAGCAAUUGUAUACUUAUACAUAAAGUGUGCUUGGAUGUGCUGUACAUGUCUACUUGACGUUUAAAAAAAAUAUAUUUAUGAGAAGCAUUUAUACGACAAAAUACCACUGGAAUGUGAAGCCAGACAAAGUUGUGAUGCAGAUUAUGAUAGUCUCUCCCCUUUAACAUUCAGUGGUGAAUGGUCAGAGGAACCAUCUUUAGUAAAGUAAAUGAUUACCUUUUCUUUUUAGUUUAUUUCAUUUUUCUGUGUAUGCUUUUCUGUCCAGCCCUAUAAUAUGAGAUAAUUCAACGUUUACAGCUUCAUUUAGGCUCAUGCAGCUGUACCGAUAUCACAGGUUGUCACGAUGAAGAUGGGUAGGUGGAUUCUGUUUUUGAGGGUUGGAGGGGAGGAAAGUCAGUCUGUGUCCCUCAAGCUGUUUGCCUUUGAAUCCAACUGUCCAGAUUCUGGCUGCUUAGGCGUCCGUCUCUCCACACUGCCCUCACAUUUUACACCGGGUUUGACUUACAAGGGGUACAGGACAAGGUGAAAGGUUUGAGGUUUUCUCCCCACCAAAUAUUACGGCCCUCCCCUCUCCCUGCUGCCGCCACCUACACACGCCAACACGAAAACAAAAACUGUACCAGCCCCACUCCACAAACCCGCCGUCUCACCUGAAACCUCAAGCCAUUCAUGUUUCUGUUUUUGUUUCUUCAACAAUGCAAUCCUGAAAGCACUUUGCCUUGUUAUUCCUUUGUGUGAACACGUGAAUGAUAAUUUGUUACAGAAAUGUUAAAUAUGUAAAAGAUCAUUCACUGUUUUGGAAAAACCUGCAUCUGUCUUUCUGACGUUAAAAGAAAAAAAAAAACAAACAGUUUAGUGACAUUAAACCUGAAUCUAUUUUAUAAAAUGUUUGCUGCAGCCAAUUGGUCUUGUCAUUCAGUAUUGUGGCUUAGGGUUGUUUGUGUUCAAUAAAGUGCUAUUGCUAAAUA
Xiphophorus couchianus (Monterrey platyfish) is the source of this 5213-nucleotide long non-coding RNA. RefSeq lists it as uncharacterized. The transcript is spliced from 2 exons. NCBI's taxonomy places the organism in Eukaryota, Metazoa, Chordata, Actinopteri, Cyprinodontiformes, Poeciliidae. The record is from RefSeq and is a predicted model, not a curated record.